This 450-nucleotide ribosomal RNA is filed under the name uncultured Comamonadaceae bacterium. Its description in RNAcentral is "bacterial SSU rRNA". It matches the Rfam family "Bacterial small subunit ribosomal RNA", at positions 354 to 796 of the family's 1533-position model. Lineage: Bacteria; Pseudomonadati; Pseudomonadota; Betaproteobacteria; Burkholderiales; Comamonadaceae. The record is from RNAcentral.
GUGGGGAAUUUUGGACAAUGGGCGCAAGCCUGAUCCAGCCAUGCCGCGUGCGGGAAGAAGGCCUUCGGGUUGUAAACCGCUUUUGUCGGGGAAGAAAUACUCCGGGCUAAUACCCUGGGGGGAUGACGGUACCCGAAGAAUAAGCACCGGCUAACUACGUGCCAGCAGCCGCGGUAAUACGUAGGGUGCAAGCGUUAAUCGGAAUUACUGGGCGUAAAGCGUGCGCAGGCGGUUCUGCAAGACAGAUGUGAAAUCCCCGGGCUCAACCUGGGAACUGCAUUUGUGACUGCAGGGCUGGAGUGCGGCAGAGGGGGAUGGAAUUCCGCGUGUAGCAGUGAAAUGCGUAGAUAUGCGGAGGAACACCGAUGGCGAAGGCAAUCCCCUGGGCCUGCACUGACGCUCAUGCACGAAAGCGUGGGGAGCAAACAGGAUUAGAUACCCUAGUAGUCC